GCCACCGGCGAGAGAGCCAGGUGGGCUCUGUAAGCCACACUUGGCUGCCAGGGUCCGUAUGUCUUUUAAAAAGAGAGAGAGAAAGAUUCCAAGAGAGCUCCCGUGUACCUUCCACUAUGUGAGGCCACGCUGAGAAGACGGCCAGUUGUUGAACCAGGAACCUGCUCUCUCCAGACACUGAAUCUGCUUAUUCCUUCUUCUUGGACUUCUCGGCCUUCGGAAGUCUUUCUCUGAGUUGGAGAAUGUGUCUUUGGCCAAUAUUCUUACCUGACCUCUGCCAUUUGUGAGAUGCUCAGCCUCCACUCCGACCUCUCCAUCACCUGUCCCAGUGGCCUGGAGGGAACUUCCAGAUGUGUUCUUUUAUUCUGCAGAGCACUCUGCCAUCCUCCGAGGUCACAUCCAUAAGGCCGUGGCUUUCAUAAUUCUGAAAGCAACCGUCUAGCUGUUUUACUGAGAUAAAAGCCAACACCGGAAGCAGUGAAUGACUGGGGCAAGUCACUUGGACAAACAGUCAGUGUGUGUACACCAGCUGGCCUCCACACCGGACCCCAAGCACGGGAGGAGUGCUGCAGCCGUCAAAGCGAGGUAGCAGCUGGGAGAUGACAGU
Molecule: long non-coding RNA, 607 nt
Organism: Odocoileus virginianus texanus
Lineage: Eukaryota; Metazoa; Chordata; Mammalia; Artiodactyla; Cervidae
Source: RefSeq, a predicted model, not a curated record